RNAcentral lists this long non-coding RNA (2921 nucleotides) under Solanum lycopersicum (tomato). RNAcentral's name for it is "long non-coding RNA (SLYC_LNC000440)". Lineage: Eukaryota; Viridiplantae; Streptophyta; Magnoliopsida; Solanales; Solanaceae. The record is from RNAcentral.
ACAUAUAUAAGACUUUUUUAAGUCAUUAACCACCUCACAUAUCUCAUAAUCCCAAGACCUCAAGUCUAUAACCAGCUUUUUCCCAAAAUCUCCUCUAGACUCCAAGGAAGAAGAUGAACAAUGAAGCUAGGGGUGAAGAAUCAAGAUUUUUCCCCAAAUUCGUGGUUAAUCUUCUAUAAGGUAUGAUAUAUUUUCAUCUAUGGGUAUCCUUCACCCAUAGCGCCCUUCCAAAACCUUCAAUUUCGAAACUAGAAAAUUCAUAAGUUAGAAUUUGACUUCAAUCUCAUGGAAUCUUUUCAAAUUCGUUUUAAAUGAUUGAAUUAUGUUUGUUUAUAUAUAUAUAUAUAUAUAUAUAUAUAUAUAUAUAUUAAUGAUUUUAUAUGAUUUUAAGUUGGAUUAUUCAAGAAUUCAUGAAUUAUACUAUUUUUCCAAAUCAGAUCUUAAAGUGUAGGUAUUGAUUGAUGAAUGUAGAUUACUACAGAAUUAUGAAUGUUAUGAGUUGAUUACUUGAAUAAUGUUAUUAUCCAUGCCUAAUGUAGUAGUUCUACGUGCGUUGAUUGAAUUUGAUCCAUUGGUCCUUGAAAGUCAAACUAUGAGAAUUUUGUAUAAUCAUGAUGCUUAUGUACAUGCUUUGUGAAUACCUAGGAGGAAUGUGAUUAUGACUAUAAUGUAAUUGUGAUGAUGUGGAAGGAUUUCCUCACCUAAAUGAACCGGUAGGUCAAUGACAUCCUUUUCACGUGUGAAUAAAAGUGAUCUUGAUUGAUAUAUCUUGAAUCGGUAGGCUAAGGGCAUCCCUUUCUUGUGUAGCUAAAAGUUAUCUCGACUUAAUGAACCUUGAAUCGGUAGGCAAUGUCAUCCUUUUUAUAAAUGACUAAUGAAUCAUUUUAAGGAUUUGUAUUGGAUCGGUAGAUCAAUGGUAUCCCUUUGAUUAUGAGUCAAUGAACUAUUAUAAUGAUAAAUCUUGAAUCGGUAGACCAAUGGUAUCAUUUUAAUGAGGAUUCAAUGAGUUAUUUUAAUGAUGUACCUUGAAUCAGUAGACUUAUGACAUUCCUUUUAUGUGUAAUGAUGUACCUUGAACCGUUAGACAAAUGACAUCCCUUUUCAUGUGUAAUAAUGUUAAAAGAGAAUUUACGACUCCAUAGAAAUUUAAUGCUUAGCACCGAGUAGAUAUUGUGAGGUGAAAGCUCUUUCUAUGUAAGGUCGAGUUUCUAGUGACAAUAGUCUUAUCCCAUAACUAUGUGCCCACAUAGAUUAUUAGCUAGUGGAUUCACCUAAGCUAAAAUGUUAUCAGCUCUACCUUAGGCAAGUGAACCAACUAUUUCCUGUGCGGACCAUACCGAAUUCCAUGAUUUACUCACAUGGUCUAUAUUGGUUAGAGAUUCUUCCAUCAUGAACAAAAAUGUGAGUUAUGCACUAUGGUUACUCAAGAAGCUCUAUGAAGUGUGGGUGGGGGUAUGAGACUUCAUCCAUGCAUUGUAUAAGUAGGCUUUGAGAAUAGUUAUGAUGUGUUCCUCAAAUGUUAUAAUGUCUUGUGAAAUGAAUACGCUUAUAAUGAUGUUAUCGAGAAUGUGGAUAUGAGAGCUAAUGUAAACAUGAGUGCUUAACUUAGAUUGUUGUUAUGAGUUGCUUUUCUUGAUAUGACCUAUUAAAUGUGAAUGUUUCUUUGUCUAAUGAGUAUUAACUAAAAAUGAGAAUAAAGAAUGAUAAGUAUGAUUAUGGUGGACUCAAAGUGGUACUUAGUGUAGAUGGAAUUAUGAGAUUUUUAUUUAUACAUUACAUAAAUAUAACUUAGGAUUACUUAUGAAAUGAUUCUAUUAUGCUAUGAUGGUUUAUAUAUUGAAUAUGCUUGUGGCUUAUGCCUUCAUACUAAAAGUACAUGAUGAUUUUCAAACUUGGUAGAUCAUGAUUUUCAGCUAAAUAUCCGUUUUAACUUGUUUUCAAAGAUUUUUAUGCAUGGCUAUCAUACUUAGUGCAUGUUUUUACUAACUCAUAUUUUCUACAUUUUUCUUUAAGUGUAGGUUUAAGUUCUUAAGGUGAUCUUCUAUUGGUUCAAGCUUAGAUUGACUAUUCUCCUAACUUGUGGUGAGUCAUCAAGAUUCGAGAAAUCAUUAGUAGUUUCUUUCUAGUUAUUUUAUGGUUUGAAUUAUGUGAAAGGAUUGUGCCUCUAUUUUUUGUUCAAGGAUUGUAUUAGAUGGCUAUUUGAGACAAGUUAGACUUUCGCUUUCUCUUAUAAAAGACUUCGAUUUUAUGGAUAAAGUUUUAAAUUUUGCAUCAUUUCUUAUAUCUUAUGGUGUAGUAUGCUAAGGGCUUGUAUGAGACUCCUUCGAGUUCAAGUAAGUUAUGUUACAUCUAAGGUGUACCUCUGGGUCGUGACAUAUUAAUUGUUCAGCUUACGAAAUACUAUCGUAAUGUGAAAAUUCAAAACUUAUUAAUGUAAAAAAUGAAAUUCCACUAGAUUCUAUUAAAUAUCAUUUUUCAAAACCUAAAAGUCAUCACACUAAGGAAAUUUAAUCCAAAAGUACCAAGUCUAAUAGACAAGAGUAUUAGAAACACCAUAAUAGAUAAAUAAAAUAGUUUGUGUUCGAAAACUAGGGACAUCAUGUCAUGACCAAGAAAAUUCAACACGAGCUAAAAUGACUAUUCACCCUAGAACCCGAUAUGUUGGAGACUGGAUAGAGCUAAGGGCGAGUAGAAGUUGUUAAUACGCUUAUUGCACUCCACAAAGGCAAACAAAAAAAUACAAGUGUUACUACAGGUGAUAUCAUCGACCGACUCAAAUAGAAACCAAUAUGCGUAAAGUAAUAGUAUGAAAUCAACUAUAACACUUAGCAGGUGACAAACAACAUGAACAAGUGACAACAGUAUUAUAACAAGUAUGUAAUAGUCACAAUAUUAAAAACACACUUGAGGACUCAUGCAUC